UGGGGAAUUUUGGACAAUGGGGGAAACCCUGAUCCAGCCAUGCCGCGUGAGUGAAGAAGGCCUUCGGGUUGUAAAGCUCUUUCAGCCGGAACGAAACGGUUACGGUUAAUACCCGUGACUACUGACGGUACCGGCAGAAGAAGCACCGGCUAACUACGUGCCAGCAGCCGCGGUAAUACGUAGGGUGCGAGCGUUAAUCGGAAUUACUGGGCGUAAAGGGUGCGCAGGCGGUUUUGUAAGUCAGAUGUGAAAUCCCCGGGCUUAACCUGGGAACUGCGUUUGAAACUACAAGGCUAGAGUGUAGCAGAGGGGGGUGGAAUUCCGCGUGUAGCAGUGAAAUGUGUAGAUAUGCGGAGGAACACCGAUGGCGAAGGCAGCCCCCUGGGUUAACACUGACGCUCAGGCACGAAAGCAUGGGGAGCAAACAGGAUUAGAUACCCUGGUAGUCCAUGCCCUAAACGAUGUCAACUAGUUGUCGGGCCUUAACGGGCUUGGUAACGUAGCUAACGCGUGAAGUUGACCGCCUGGGGAGUACGAUCGCAAGAUU
This 547-nucleotide ribosomal RNA is filed under the name uncultured bacterium. RNAcentral describes it as "bacterial SSU rRNA". It matches the Rfam family "Bacterial small subunit ribosomal RNA", at positions 355 to 895 of the family's 1533-position model. The record is from RNAcentral.